UACGUAGGUGGCAAGCGUUGUCCGGAUUUACUGGGCGUAAAGAGCGCGCAGGCGGUCGUUCAAGUCGCGUGUGAAAGCCCCCGGCUCAACUGGGGAGGGUCACGCGAUACUGAUCGACUCGAAGGCAGGAGAGGGUAGUGGAAUUCCCGGUGUAGUGGUGAAAUGCGUAGAUAUCGGGAGGAACACCGGUGGCGAAGGCGGCGAGCUGGUCCAUUACUGACGCUGAGGCGCGACAGCGUGGGGAGCAAACAGG
This 253-nucleotide ribosomal RNA is filed under the name uncultured bacterium. Its description in RNAcentral is "partial 16S ribosomal RNA". It matches the Rfam family "Bacterial small subunit ribosomal RNA", at positions 524 to 776 of the family's 1533-position model. The record is from RNAcentral.